AAAUCUUAACUUCUUUGGUUUUACAGAUGUUGGUGGAAUUGAUUGAAAUCUUGAUUCCUCCCUGGUUUGAACUGCUCCUUUUUCCCCCUUGGUGGAAUGUGCUGGUACCCCCUUGGUGGCUUUCCGGAAAAACUAUUCCGAUGUCUUCUUUCCCAGGUAUUUCAAGAAGUUUUUUGGCUGUAAUCACCCAUAAAUUGAAUACUUUGGAUUUGGAGGUUAUGUUUCGUUUUUUUGUGUCUAAAUACAAGAAUAUUUCUUAAUCUACGACGGAAAUACGAACGGAUUUAUCAUUGAUUAAAACAUUUUUACAAAUAACGACGAAAUUUAUGAGAACUAUAACAAACUUUUAUGAAAUUUUUCAACGAUCAGCUUUAACUAUCCUCGGUAUAUCAACUUUGAUAUCAAUACAUUUGAAGAAGUACUAAUAAACUCUCUAGGCUCUCGAUUUACAAGGAUUUUUCUACGGAAUGCCAUUAUUUUCUCUUUAUUGUAAUUAUUUCUUAUAACAAAACUAUUGUUUAUUAAUUAAUUAAU
This is a non-coding RNA of Onthophagus taurus, 534 nucleotides long. The record is from RefSeq and is a predicted model, not a curated record. NCBI's taxonomy places the organism in Eukaryota, Metazoa, Arthropoda, Insecta, Coleoptera, Scarabaeidae.